GAUGAACGCUGGCGGCGUGCCUAAUACAUGCAAGUCGAGCGAACGGACGAGAAGCUUGCUUCUCUGAUGUUAGCGGCGGACGGGUGAGUAACACGUGGAUAACCUACCUAUAAGACUGGGAUAACUUCGGGAAACCGGAGCUAAUACCGGAUAAUAUUUUGAACCGCAUGGUUCAAAAGUGAAAGACGGUCUUGCUGUCACUUAUAGAUGGAUCCGCGCUGCAUUAGAUAGUUGGUAAGGUAACGGCUUACCAAGGCAACGAUGCAUAGCCGACCUGAGAGGGUGAUCGGCCACACUGGAACUGAGACACGGUCCAGACUCCUACGGGAGGCGGCAGUAGGGAAUCUUCCGCAAUGGGCGAAAGCCUGACGGAGCAACGCCGCGUGAGUGAUGAAGGUCUUCGGAUCGUAAAACUCUGUUAUUAGGGAAGAACAUAUGUGUAAGUAACUGUGCACAUCUUGACGGUACCUAAUCAGAAAGCCACGGCUAACUACGUG
Molecule: ribosomal RNA, 497 nt
Filed under: uncultured bacterium
Lineage: Bacteria
Description: partial 16S ribosomal RNA
Rfam family: Bacterial small subunit ribosomal RNA
Source: RNAcentral